Molecule: ribosomal RNA, 468 nt
Filed under: uncultured bacterium
Lineage: Bacteria
Description: partial 16S ribosomal RNA
Rfam family: Bacterial small subunit ribosomal RNA
Source: RNAcentral
GACGAACGCUGGCGGCGUGCUUAACACAUGCAAGUCGAACGGAAAGGCCCUGCUUUUGUGGGGUGCUCGAGUGGCGAACGGGUGAGUAACACGUGAGUAACCUGCCCUUGACUUUGGGAUAACUUCAGGAAACUGGGGCUAAUACCGGAUAGGAGCUCCUGCUGCAUGGUGGGGGUUGGAAAGUUUCGGCGGUUGGGGAUGGACUCGCGGCUUAUCAGCUUGUUGGUGGGGUAGUGGCUUACCAAGGCUUUGACGGGUAGCCGGCCUGAGAGGGUGACCGGCCACAUGGGGACUGAGAUACGGCCCAGACUCCUACGGGAGGCAGCAGUGGGGAAUAUUGCACAAUGGGCGGAAGUCUGAUGCAGCAACGCCGCGUGCGGGAUGACGGCCUUCGGGUUGUAAACCGCUUUCGCCUGUGACGAAGCGUGAGUGACGGUAAUGGGUAAAGAAGCACCGGCUAACUACGUG